This 73-nucleotide transfer RNA is filed under the name Operophtera brumata (winter moth). It matches the Rfam family "tRNA". Rfam says of the family: Transfer RNA (tRNA) molecules are approximately 80 nucleotides in length. Their secondary structure includes four short double-helical elements and three loops (D, anti-codon, and T loops). Further hydrogen bonds mediate the characteristic L-shaped molecular structure. tRNAs have two regions of fundamental functional importance: the anti-codon, which is responsible for specific mRNA codon recognition, and the 3' end, to which the tRNAs corresponding amino acid is attached (by aminoacyl-tRNA synthetases). tRNAs cope with the degeneracy of the genetic code in two manners: having more than one tRNA (with a specific anti-codon) for a particular amino acid; and 'wobble' base-pairing, i.e. permitting non-standard base-pairing at the 3rd anti-codon position. Lineage: Eukaryota; Metazoa; Arthropoda; Insecta; Lepidoptera; Geometridae. The record is from Rfam by way of RNAcentral.
GGCCAUGUGGCGCAAUGGAUAGUGCGUCUGACUACGGUUCAGAAGAUUACAGGUUCGAAUCCUGGCAUUAUUA